This 2008-nucleotide long non-coding RNA is filed under the name Sus scrofa (pig). RNAcentral's name for it is "lncRNA (ENSSSCG00015056396.1)". The record is from RNAcentral. Lineage: Eukaryota; Metazoa; Chordata; Mammalia; Artiodactyla; Suidae.
GCUCUGUGUGGACAGGUGGGGACCAGCUUCCAGGAGAGCGGACGUGGUUGGGGGGAGAGAGGUGCGCAGAUUGUCUGCACACUGUGCUAAGCCCGGGUUGUGGAAAGAGAUGCGUGUAGACCAACGGGAGGAAGCAAGGCCUCUCCCAGGACAGUUAGGUGGUGGGGGAAGGGCUGGAGUAGAACGCGAGGACUGCACCACCACCGGGGGAUCCGUCCAUCCUGUGACCGUGGCGCUGUGGCUGUAGAUGACCUGUGCUUUGCAGACUCCCCCGAGGCGCUGGGUCCGAGGACUCAGGGAGGGAAGACGGCGUCUGUGGCCCCGGGUUCAGGUGUGCAGGUGGGGAGUCGGUGUGGGGGGAUGCGUGAUGAGUGCUACACACACCGCUGGAUAUGCAUUUUCCUCUUUUCCUCAUAGCAGGUUUAAAAAAUUUGUGAUCGCUCAGUCUUAUCCCCGUGUCCCUUUCCUUUUAAAACUGCCCAAAGUGUGGUUUUAAGAUACUUCUACCUGGAGUUCCUGUCGUAGUGCAGUGGAAACGAAUCUGACUAGGAACCGUGAGAUUGUGGGUUCGAUCCCUGGCCUCGCUUAGUGGGUUAAGGAUCCCGCACUGCCGUGAGCUAUGGUGUAGGUCGCAGAUGUGGCCGGAUCCAGCGUUGCUGUGGCUGUGGUGUUGGCCAGCAGCUGUAGCUCUGAGUCAACCCCUAGCCUGGGAAUCUCCAUAUGCCGCAGGUGCAUAAAGCAACAACAACAACAACAAAAGUUUCUACCCAACUAGCUUUUGUCUGGACCAGUUUUAGGAGAGUAAGAAUUAGAGCUUAGGGAGAGUCCUUCUUCUGCAGAACAGGAUACAGCUCACAGGGCUGUCCUUGUAGCCGCAGUGACAGGACCAGCACCCCCAGCCCCAAACUCCAGAAUUAAGUGUACGAAGCUCCCCGCUGUGGCCCCAUCCUUCCAGAGGUUCUCCUGUUCAGCAUGCCUUUGGGUAGAAGGCGUAGAUGUUUUCAUUUUUAUUGCUUCUCCUUCCUGGGGUUCGUUAGGUUACACAGCCCGCAGGUUAUUGGCCAGCUCCUCGUAAGGAAGGCACGUGUCUUUGGGUAGGUGGCGAAGCAUUAGGCCUUCUUCCCGGGCUGUGGGCUCCUUCCAGGAGGGUAGGCUUGGGGGCCGGGGGCUCAGAGGACCUCCGUGUCGCUCCAGCUCCAGGGUUUUGUGCCCCAGGCUCCUGGCAUUGGGACAGAAGAGCUUGAGAUGGGCCGCUUGGAAGGGGGACCCGUUGGAGGAAAGCAGCCGUGCGGAGCAGUGGGAGAGACAGGCCUGGACGUGGAGAGCUGGAGGCAGAGGCGAGCCAGGAAGCUCCUGCAUUUCUGAAAAUCUCACCCGAGGCUCCCACUCUCCUCAGGGGAAGGAAAAGAAAAUCUUAGUGACCAGACUCUAAGCCGUUACCAUAACCGGUCAUUUUGGAGUUAAACUGACUUUGGGGAAUUAACCUGGAAACGUCAACACGAUUAUGCUUUUUAAAAUAACAUUUUUAAUUCAACACUAUUAAACUUUAAACACUUUGAAUUUGGAAAUGAAUCACUAUCAUAUUUUUUAACAGGAUCAUGUUUUGUUCGUUCCUCACACCUUUCUUCUGCUGAGACUUUUAGAAAAUAACCUAUUUGAUAAAAGGGGACCCAUUUUUUCUUUCUGUCUGUAAGCAGUUCCUUGACGGAACGGAAUUGUUUUGGGUACCAGACGUUUAUAGACUAUUAAUGGCCUCACAUGUACAUCAGUUAUCAGACCGUUAUUUUGCUAUAUUAUCAGGUAGAGACGAAAGCCUUUAUUAUAAUCAAAAUGAUAAGUAGCUGUUUGUUUCUCUUCACUGAGGGAUAGGCAGACAAAAGGAUAAUUAAACAAAUCAGCGUUGUGCUAAUUCAGUUUUUGAGCUGGCAGAGUUCAGGACUUGUUUGUCGAACUAACAGGGAAAUUCAAACAUUCCACACCCAGAAGGUUAUCGUUUUUGCUCGUUUCC